GGUCACUGCUAUCAGUGUUCGACUAAGCCAUGCAAGUCAAAUGUUCUUCGUGAACAUGGCGGACUGCUCAGUAACACGUGGAUAACCUGCCCUUAGGAUUGGCAUAACACCGGGAAACUGGUGAUAAUACCGAAUAGACCAUUUAUGCUGGAAUGCUUUUUGGUUCAAAGGCUUCGGCUGCCUAAGGAUGGAUCUGCGGCCUAUCAGGUAGUAGUGGGUGUAAUGUACCUACUAGCCUACGACGGGUACGGGUUGUGAGAGCAAGAGCCCGGAGAUGGAUUCUGAGACAUGAAUCCAGGCCCUACGGGGCGCAGCAGGCGCGAAAACUUUACAAUGCGGGAAACCGCGAUAAGGGGACACUGAGUGCCAGCAUAUUAUGUUGGCUGUCCACAUGUAUAAAAACCAUGUGUUAGCAAGGGCCGGGCAAGACCGGUGCCAGCCGCCGCGGUAACACCGGCGGCCCGAGUGGUGAUCACUUUUAUUGGGUCUAAAGGGUCCGUAGCCGGUUUGAUCAGUCUUCUGGGAAAUCUGACAGCUCAACUGUUAGGCUUUCAGGGGAUACUGUUAGACUUGGGACCGGGAGAGGUAAGAGGUACUACAGGGGUAGGAGUGAAAUCUUGUAAUCCCUGUGGGACCACCAGUGGCGAAGGCGUCUUACCAGAACGGGUCCGACGGUGAGGGACGAAAGCUGGGGGCACGAACCGGAUUAGAUACCCGGGUAGUCCCAGCCGUAAACGAUGUUCGCUAGGUGUCAGGGACGGUGCGACCGUUUCUGGUGCCGUAGGGAAGCCGUGAAGCGAACCACCUGGGAAGUACGGCCGCAAGGCUGAAACUUAAAGGAAUUGGCGGGGGAGCACUACAACGGGUGGAGCCUGCGGUUUA
Molecule: ribosomal RNA, 882 nt
Filed under: uncultured euryarchaeote
Lineage: Archaea; Methanobacteriati; Methanobacteriota
Description: bacterial SSU rRNA
Rfam family: Archaeal small subunit ribosomal RNA
Source: RNAcentral